GACGAACGCUGGCGGCGUGCUUAACACAUGCAAGUCGAACGGAGUGGCGAACGGGUGAGUAACACGUGGGUGACCUGCCCUGCACUUCGGGAUAAGCCUGGGAAACUGGGUAUAAUAACGGAUAGUGUGGGAUGGGCCCGCGGCCUAUCAGCUUGUUGGUGGGGUAAUGGCCUACCAAGGCGGCGACGGGUAGCCGGCGUGCGGUGGGGGACGGCCACAUUGGGACUGGGACAGGGCCAAGACUGCUACGGGAGGCAGCAGUGGGGAGUAUUGCACAAUGGGCGGAAGCCUGGUGCAGCAACGCCGCGGGCUGGAGGACGGCCUACGGGUUGUAAACCGCUUUCAGCCAUGACGCGGUAGUGGCAGAAGAAGCACCGGCUAACUACGUGCCAGCAGCCGCGGUAAUUC
RNAcentral lists this ribosomal RNA (408 nucleotides) under uncultured bacterium. RNAcentral's name for it is "partial 16S ribosomal RNA". It matches the Rfam family "Bacterial small subunit ribosomal RNA", at positions 28 to 526 of the family's 1533-position model. The record is from RNAcentral.